CGUACCGUGAUAUGUCACCCACAUGACAUGACAUAUAUUAGAUACUAGGGGAUUCGGAUCCCCUCCAAUUUUAAGGCUUCUCUUCCCUAUAAAAUCGGCAACGUGGCUGCCGAUGAUGUAGGAGACGCUGAAUGGAAAUCACCGCCUCAUAUGGAAGUCAAGGAGCCCUAUGUGAUCAUAGGCUGUGUGAGCGAUGGUCCGAUAGCCUGAGUUUAGAGACUGGACCUGUCUAAAUCCAUAUAAGAAUUAGAGGAUCCCGGCCCCUGGAUAGGAGGACGCAAAGCGAAUGUGAGAGC
RNAcentral lists this long non-coding RNA (296 nucleotides) under Elaeis guineensis (African oil palm). RNAcentral describes it as "long non-coding RNA (EGUI_LNC022199)". Lineage: Eukaryota; Viridiplantae; Streptophyta; Magnoliopsida; Arecales; Arecaceae. The record is from RNAcentral.